This 387-nucleotide ribosomal RNA is filed under the name uncultured bacterium. Its description in RNAcentral is "bacterial SSU rRNA". It matches the Rfam family "Bacterial small subunit ribosomal RNA", at positions 370 to 772 of the family's 1533-position model. The record is from RNAcentral.
AAUGGGCGCAAGCCUGAUGCAGCAACGCCGCGUGAAGGAUGAAGGCCUUUGGGUCGUAAACUUCUGUCCUUGGGGACGAAACAAAUGACGGUACCCUUGGAGGAAGCCCCGGCUAACUACGUGCCAGCAGCCGCGGUAAUACGUAGGGGGCGAGCGUUAUCCGGAAUUAUUGGGCGUAAAGAGUGCGUAGGUGGUUUUUUAAGCGCGGGGUGAAAGGCAAAGGCUCAACCAUUGUAAGCCCUGCGAACUGGGAGACUUGAGUGCAGGAGAGGAAAGCGGAAUUCCUAGUGUAGCGGUGAAAUGCGUAGAUAUUAGGAGGAACACCAGUGGCGAAGGCGGCUUUCUGGACUGUAACUGACACUGAGGCACGAAAGCGUGGGGAGCAAA